RNAcentral lists this long non-coding RNA (596 nucleotides) under Mytilus galloprovincialis (Mediterranean mussel). Lineage: Eukaryota; Metazoa; Mollusca; Bivalvia; Mytilida; Mytilidae. The record is from RNAcentral.
GUUGAGUGGUCAAAGUUAAGUUUUUGAGUUUUGGUCUUUUUAUCUAAUACUAUAUGCCAUAGGUCAACUAUAUUUGGUGUAUGGAAAUAUUUUAUGAUCUAUAUGUCAGUCGCGCAGGUUUUAUUUGACCUCGACCUCAUUUUCACGGUUCAUUGCUCAGUGUUAAGUUCUUGUGUUUUGGUCUAUUUUUUUAAAACUAUAAGUAAUAGGUCAACUAUAUUUUGUUGUAUGGAAGCAUUGUUAGCUGUACAUGUCUGCCUGGCAUGGUUCAUCUGACCUUGACCUCAUUUUUAUGGUUCAUUGCUCUUUGUUUAGUUAUCUUGGGUUAAUGUUAAGUUUAUGUGACAGUUUUUAAUAAAGCUUUAUACUUAGGACUAUCAACAUAAUAUCAAUGAUAAGUAAAGAAGGCGAGACAUUUCAGUGUGUGCACUCUUGUGAAUUUACGAAUUAUGUUAAUCAUGUAAAUAAUGUUAUGUUUUUUGUUUUUUGCUUUUUGAAGUUUUUAAAAUUGACAAAUAAUGCUAGCAGGGGAGAUUAUUCAUUAAUAUUUUUAUGAUGCCAAACUUGAAAUUUAGAGGUGCCUAUGUUUGCUAUUU